GACCCGUUAGUCAAGUGGUUAAGACACGGCCCUUUCACGGCCGUAACAUGGGUUCAAAUCCCGUACGGGUCA
RNAcentral lists this transfer RNA (72 nucleotides) under Lactobacillus amylolyticus. RNAcentral's name for it is "tRNA-Glu". It matches the Rfam family "tRNA". Rfam says of the family: Transfer RNA (tRNA) molecules are approximately 80 nucleotides in length. Lineage: Bacteria; Bacillati; Bacillota; Bacilli; Lactobacillales; Lactobacillaceae. RNAcentral also lists the same sequence under 1 other name. The record is from RNAcentral.